Molecule: ribosomal RNA, 429 nt
Filed under: Gemmatimonadota bacterium
Lineage: Bacteria; Pseudomonadati; Gemmatimonadota
Description: Gemmatimonadetes bacterium partial 16S ribosomal RNA
Rfam family: Bacterial small subunit ribosomal RNA
Source: RNAcentral
UAGGGAAUCUUCGGCAAUGGACGAAAGUCUGACCGAGCAACGCCGCGUGAGUGAAGAAGGUUUUCGGAUCGUAAAACUCUGUUGUUAGAGAAGAACAAGGACGUUAGUAACUGAACGUCCCCUGACGGUAUCUAACCAGAAAGCCACGGCUAACUACGUGCCAGCAGCCGCGGUAAUACGUAGGUGGCAAGCGUUGUCCGGAUUUAUUGGGCGUAAAGCGAGCGCAGGCGGUUUGUUAAGUCUGAUGUGAAAGCCCCCGGCUCAACCGGGGAGGGUCAUUGGAAACUGGGAGACUUGAGUGCAGAAGAGGAGAGUGGAAUUCCAUGUGUAGCGGUGAAAUGCGUAGAUAUAUGGAGGAACACCAGUGGCGAAGGCGGCUCUCUGGUCUGUAACUGACGCUGAGGCUCGAAAGCGUGGGGAGCAAACAGG